Molecule: non-coding RNA, 413 nt
Organism: Physcomitrium patens
Lineage: Eukaryota; Viridiplantae; Streptophyta; Bryopsida; Funariales; Funariaceae
Source: RefSeq, a predicted model, not a curated record
UCUUUCUGGCUUCUGCCUCCUGACCUCGCUCCUUUCUGUAUUUGUUUCGUUUAGUCAUCAGCUGCACUCCAUCGCGAUGAGGAACACGGUGCGUGCUUCGUCCGGUCCCUUGUCCCGAGAGUGGGACAUUGAUGCAGGCCUGCGAGACACAGUGACGAUCGCUCCCCCGCUGGACACCCCCCCAAUCACAGAUCCUCAAUGAUUUAAUGUUCCAGCAUCCGAACCAACUCACCGAGCGCCUUGGUUUCGGGAGUGCAACUCGCCAAACCUGACCUCAGGCGUCAAGAGGUGAUUUCUGACCACCGCAUGUUUACGAGCAUCGCUUCACGUCGUGGUGUGAAUUUGCCUAGUCGGUCAAAUAUAUAAAUACACCAGGAAAACUGGUCGCGGUUCGGACUGUUGUGCUUACACUU